UCAGGCGACUGGAUGGCUGCGCUCGAACGGGCAACCGAUCGGGUGAGGAAAGUCCGGGCUCCACGGAGACACGGUGCCGGCUAACGGCCGGCGGGGGCGACCCCAGGGAAAGUGCCACAGAGAACAGACCGCCGGGCCAGCUUGCUGGCCAGGUAAGGGUGAAACGGUGGGGUAAGAGCCCACCGCGCGACCGGCAACGGGAGCGGCACGGCAAACCCCACCGGGAGCAAGACCAAAUAGGGGCGGCACGCCGGGCAACCGGCAGCGGUGUUUCCGCGUCGUCGCCCGGGUCGGUCGCGCGAGGUGCUCGGUAACGGGCAUCCCAGAGGAAUGGCCAUCCAUCGCCUUCGGGCGAGGACAGAACCCGGCUUACAGGCCGCCUGACCCU
Molecule: non-coding RNA, 388 nt
Organism: Kaistia sp. SCN 65-12
Lineage: Bacteria; Pseudomonadati; Pseudomonadota; Alphaproteobacteria; Hyphomicrobiales; Kaistiaceae
Source: Rfam